UACGGGGGGGGCAAGCGUUGUUCGGAAUUACUGGGCGUAAAGGGCUCGUAGGCGGCCAACUAAGUCGGACGUGAAAUCCCUCGGCUUAACCGGGGAACUGCGUCCGAUACUGGAUGGCUUGAGUUCGGGAGAGGGAUGCGGAAUUCCAGGUGUAGCGGUGAAAUGCGUAGAUAUCUGGAGGCACACCGGUGGCGAAGGCGGUGAUCUGGGCCGACACUGACGCUGUAGAGCGAAAGCGUGGGGAGCGAACAGG
Molecule: ribosomal RNA, 253 nt
Filed under: uncultured bacterium
Lineage: Bacteria
Description: partial 16S ribosomal RNA
Rfam family: Bacterial small subunit ribosomal RNA
Source: RNAcentral